AAUCAACGCUGGCGGCGUGCCUCAGACAUGCAAGUCGAACGCGAAAGCUCCCUUCGGGGAGCAAGUAGAGUGGCGCACGGGUGAGUAACACGUAGGUAAUCUACCUUCGGAUGGGGAAUAACAACCGGAAACGGUUGCUAAUACCGCAUAAUGCAGCGGCACCUAAUGGUGACAGUUGUUAAAGCGGGGGAUCGCAAGACCUCGCGUCUGAAGAGGAGCCUGCGGCGGAUUAGCUAGUUGGCAGGGUAACGGCCUACCAAGGCGACGAUCCGUAGCCGGCCUGAGAGGGCGGUCGGCCACACUGACACUGACAUACGGGUCAGACUCCUACGGGAGGCAGCAGUCGGGAAUUUUGGGCAAUGGGCGAAAGCCUGACCCAGCAACGCCGCGUGAAGGAUGAAAUCCCUCGGGAUGUAAACUUCGCAAGAACGGGAAGAAUAAGUCUGCGUUAACACCGCAGGCGAUGACGGUACCGUUUGUAAGCUCCGGCUAACUCCGUGCCAGCAGCCG
This 510-nucleotide ribosomal RNA is filed under the name uncultured bacterium. RNAcentral's name for it is "bacterial SSU rRNA". It matches the Rfam family "Bacterial small subunit ribosomal RNA", at positions 32 to 517 of the family's 1533-position model. The record is from RNAcentral.